GUACCAGACUGGUCAAAAUGCUAACCGUACUAUAUUAACACACAGAGCUGGUACCAGACAGGUCAAAAUGCUAACCGUACUGUAUUAACACACAGAGCAGGUACCAGACUGGACAAAAUGCUAACCGUACUGUAUUAACACACAGAGCAAGUACCAGACUGGUCAAAAUGCUAACCAUACUAUAUUAACACACAGAGCAGGUACCAGACUGGUCAAAAUGCUAACCGUACUGUAUCAACACACAGAGCAGGUACCAGACUGGUCAAAAUGCUAACUUUACUGUAUUAACACACAGAGCAGGUACCAGACUGGACAAAAUGCUAAUCAUACUGUAUUAACACACAGAGCAGGUACCAGACUGGUCAAAAUGCUAACUUUACUGUAUUAACACACAGAGCAGGUACCAGACUGGACAAAAUGCUAACCGUACUAUAUUAACACACAGAGCAGGUACCAGACUGGACAAAAUGCUAACCGUACUAUAUUAACACACAGAGCAGGUACCAGACUGGUCAAAAUGGUAACCGUACUGUAUUAACACACAGAGCAGGUACCAGACUGGUCAAAAUGCUAACCGUACUGUAUUAACACACAGAGCAGGUACCAGACUGGUCAAAAUGCUAACUUUACUGUAUUAACACACAGAGCAGGUACCAGACUGGACAAAAUGCUAACCGUACUGUAUUAACACACAGAGCAGGUACCAGACAGGUCAAAAUGCUAACCAUACUAUAUUAACACACAGAGCAGGUACCAGACUGGAC
RNAcentral lists this long non-coding RNA (764 nucleotides) under Salmo salar (Atlantic salmon). RNAcentral describes it as "lncRNA (ENSSSAG00000082735.1)". The record is from RNAcentral. Lineage: Eukaryota; Metazoa; Chordata; Actinopteri; Salmoniformes; Salmonidae.